RNAcentral lists this unclassified non-coding RNA (505 nucleotides) under uncultured Glomeromycotina. Its description in RNAcentral is "SSU rRNA". It matches the Rfam family "Eukaryotic small subunit ribosomal RNA", at positions 591 to 1092 of the family's 1831-position model. The record is from RNAcentral. Lineage: Eukaryota; Fungi; Glomeromycota.
CCAAUAGCGUAUAUUAAAGUUGUUGCAGUUAAAAAGCUCGUAGUUGAAUUUCGGGAUUGACACAUCGGUCGUGCCUUAAGGGGUAUGAACUGGUGUAGUCAAUUUCUCACCUUCUGGAGAACCGCAAUGCCCUUAAUUGGGUGUCGCGGGGAACCAGGACCUUUACUUUGAAAAAAUUAGAGUGUUUAAAGCAGGCAUUUUGCUUGAAUACAUUAGCAUGGAAUAAUAAAAUAGGACGGAUGAUUCUAUUUUGUUGGUUUCUAGGACCACCGUAAUGAUUAAUAGGGAUAGUUGGGGGCAUUAGUAUUCAAUUGUCAGAGGUGAAAUUCUUGGAUUGAUUGAAGACUAACUACUGCGAAAGCAUUUGCCAAGGAUGUUUUCAUUAAUCAAGAACGAAAGUUAGGGGAUCGAAGACGAUCAGAUACCGUCGUAGUCUUAACCAUAAACUAUGCCGACUAGGAAUCAGACGAUGUUAAUUUUUUAAUGACUCGUUUGGCACCUUACG